UCCUGGCUCAUCCGUGGAGUCUUGCGGGGAAAUGUCUCCUUGGUGCUGGUGGAGAACAAAACUGGGAAGGAACAAAGCAGAAUGGUCUGGCAUGUUGCCACCAAUGAAGGCUUGAGCCUGUGGCAGUGGACGGUGCUGCCUCUUCUCAAUGUGACUGACAGGUUCUGGCUGCAGAUUGUUGUGUGGUGGGGGCAAGGAUCCAGAGCCACCGUGGCUUUUGACAAUAUCUCCAUCAGCCUGGACUGCUACCUCACCAUCAGUGGGGAGGACAAGAUACCACAGGAUACGGCACCCAAAUCAAGAAAUCUAUUUGAGAGAAACCCAAACAAGGAGCCAAAAGCCUGGGAAAGUA
Non-coding RNA from Leptonychotes weddellii (Weddell seal), 352 nucleotides. The record is from RefSeq and is a predicted model, not a curated record. NCBI's taxonomy places the organism in Eukaryota, Metazoa, Chordata, Mammalia, Carnivora, Phocidae.